Molecule: small nuclear RNA, 100 nt
Organism: Fukomys damarensis (Damara mole-rat)
Lineage: Eukaryota; Metazoa; Chordata; Mammalia; Rodentia; Bathyergidae
Source: Ensembl
GUGCUUGCUUCGGCAGCACAUAUAUUGGAGCCAUACAGAGAAGAUUAGCAUGGCCCUGCACAAGGAUGACACGCAAAUUCGUGAAGGGUUCCAUAUUAAA